AGAGUUUGAUCAUGGCUCAGAUUGAACGCUGGCGGCGUGCUUAACACAUGCAAGUCGAGCGGUAACAGGUGUAGCAAUACAUGCUGACGAGCGGCGAACGGGUGAGUAAUGCUUCGGAAUCUUCCUCGUAGUGGGGAAUAACCUGGGGAAACUCAGGCUAAUACCGCAUACGAACUACGGUUGAAAGCAGGGGAUCGCAAGACCUUGCGCUAUGAGAUGAGCCGAAGUCGGAUUAGCUAGUUGGUGGGGUAACGGCCCACCAAGGCGACGAUCCGUAGCUGGUCUGAGAGGACGACCAGCCACACUGGGACUGAGACACGGCCCAGACUCCUACGGGAGGCAGCAGUGGGGAAUAUUGGACAAUGGGCGAAAGCCUGAUCCAGCGACGCCGCGUGUGUGAAGAAGGCCUGCGGGUUGUAAAGCACUUUUAGUGGGGAUGAAAAGCCGAAGGCUAAUACCUUUCGGUCUUGACCUAACCCAAAGAAAAAGCACCGGCUAACUCUGUGCCAGCAGCCGCGGUAAUACAGAGGGUGCAAGCGUUAAUCGGAAUUACUGGGCGUAAAGCGUGCGUAGUCGGUUAUUCAAGUCGGGUGUGAAAGCCCCGGGCUCAACCUGGGAAUUGCAUUCGAUACUGUUUAGCUAGAGUUCGGCAGAGGGAAGUGGAAUUUCGGGUGUAGCGGUGAAAUGCGUAGAUAUCCGAAGGAACAUCAGUGGCGAAAGCGACUUCCUGGACCAGAACUGACGAUCAGGCACGAAAGCGUGGGGAGCAAACAGGAUUAGAUACCCUAGUAGUCC
RNAcentral lists this ribosomal RNA (795 nucleotides) under uncultured bacterium. Its description in RNAcentral is "bacterial SSU rRNA". It matches the Rfam family "Bacterial small subunit ribosomal RNA", at positions 8 to 796 of the family's 1533-position model. The record is from RNAcentral.